This 555-nucleotide ribosomal RNA is filed under the name uncultured bacterium. RNAcentral describes it as "partial 16S ribosomal RNA". It matches the Rfam family "Bacterial small subunit ribosomal RNA", at positions 355 to 1375 of the family's 1533-position model. The record is from RNAcentral.
UGGGGAAUAUUGGACAAUGGGCGCAAGCCUGAUCCAGCAAUGCCGCGUGAGUGAUGAAGGCCUUAGGGUUGUAAAGCUCUUUCGCACGCGACGAUGAUGACGGUAGCGUGAGUAGAAGCCCCGGCUAACUUCGUGCCAGCAGCCGCGGUAAUACGAAGGGGGCUAGCGUUGUUCGGAAUUACUGGGCGUAAAGGGCGCGUAGGCGGCCUGUUUAGUCAGAAGUGAAAGCCCCGGGCUCAACCUGGGAAUAGCUUUUGAUACUGGCAGGCUUGAGUUCCGGAGAGGAUGGUGGAAUUCCCAGUGUAGAGGUGAAAUUCGUAGAUAUUGGGAAGAACACCGGUGGCGAAGGCGGCCAUCUGGACGGACACUGACGCUGAGGCGCGAAAGCGUGGGGAGCAAACAGAUUAGAUACCCUGNAGUCCACGCGUAAACGUGAAUGCUNGACGUCGGGGUGCAUNCACUUCGUGUCGCCGCUAACGCAUUAAGCAUUCCGCCUGGGGAGUACGGCCGCAAGGUUAAAACUUAAAUGAAUUGACGGGGUCAUAGCUGUUUCCU